GAGGGAUGAGAUACUAGAUGACGAGUCUGAGCUCGUGUGCGAGAGUUUCUCUCGUACAUGCCGGUGACGACUCUUUCUAAAAUACCAUUCAUGCUUUCCUGAUU
This 104-nucleotide small nucleolar RNA is filed under the name Rhizoctonia solani. Lineage: Eukaryota; Fungi; Basidiomycota; Agaricomycetes; Cantharellales; Ceratobasidiaceae. The record is from RNAcentral.